AGGGAUGUGGCUCAGUGGUAGAGCACUUGCAUAACAUGUGCAGAGUCCUGGGUUCAACCUCCAGCAUCACAA
RNAcentral lists this transfer RNA (72 nucleotides) under Cricetulus griseus (Chinese hamster). It matches the Rfam family "tRNA". From Rfam's summary of the family: Transfer RNA (tRNA) molecules are approximately 80 nucleotides in length. The record is from Rfam by way of RNAcentral. Lineage: Eukaryota; Metazoa; Chordata; Mammalia; Rodentia; Cricetidae.